This 1216-nucleotide long non-coding RNA is filed under the name Neogale vison (American mink). RNAcentral's name for it is "Neovison vison (American mink) lncRNA (ENSNVIG00000012757.1)". The record is from RNAcentral. Lineage: Eukaryota; Metazoa; Chordata; Mammalia; Carnivora; Mustelidae.
UCACCUCACUCUCCCAGACGAGGCCCCCCAAGCCCCCUCACUCGUCGCACAUGCGCACAAAGCUCACCGGAACUCCAUGCCCCGGCAGGCUUUGCGCCAAACUCAUCCGUCCCCUUCCCCCCAAUACUCAGACACCUAGCCUUCCGUUCCCCUUCCGCCCCCCACCGGCCUCACCCGGAACUACGUUUCCCAGGAAGCAUCGCGGCAAAAGGACGCGUCCCUUUAGCAACUCGUCGUGACGAACUUCGCACGCCCGUCUCCAGAUAGCUCUGAACUACGCUUUCCAAGGGGUGUCGAGAACGGCCCACGGCCUACUAGCCCAAGCAAACAGGGUCUCUCAGCGCGCCAGGCUUGGAACUACAUUUCCCAGAAUGGCUGCAGGGUUUCCCCACCCCCCCAAAUUGGCUCGCGCGCAAGCAUGCGCAGAUGUGCCGACGGGAAGGCCGAGGUGGGGAGGAGGAGCUGUCAUGGCGGCAUUGUCCCGAAACAGGAGGCUAGAGGGUUCUGGGGAUGAAGUCAGUGAGAUGCGCUGGGCGAAGAGUUGGAACCAGAACACCUGCUGUCAAAGUCAGGCUGAUUGAAGGUUCUGGAGGACUGGUCCCAGGGCACCUCAGGAGGGCUGGAAGGUGAGUGCAGCACAGGGUGGCCAGGGGCUGAGGAAGCAUGAUAAAGGAAGAGGGUCACUCAUGCGCUGGGGCUGUUUGUGAUUUCUGCAGUUGUGGUGUGUGAGUCCACGGGCGCCGUCCCAGGCCUCGGGGCUUCAACAGCACAGUUCUUCUCUCCCAGUUUGGCCAGAAACCCAAGAUCAGGUGUCAGCAAAGUUGGUUUCGCACAAGCACUAACCACUCUUAGCAAGAAGGCCAAUUCUCUGGUAUGGGAUCCAUAUAUAAUGAUCAAUUUUCUUUCUUUCUUUUUUUUUUUUUUUAAAUAAUUUUUAGUUUCAUUUUUCAAGAAAGAAUUCCAACCAAGCUUGAAAAUAACACUCUUGGGACCCCUGGGUGGCUCCGUCGGUUGGGCAUGUGCCAUCAGCUCAUGUCAGGAUCCCACGGUUCUGGGACUGAGUCCCGCAUGGGACUCCUUGCUCAGCGGGGAGCCUGCUUCCCCCUCUGCUGGCCGCGCCCCCUGCUGUGUGCACGAUCACUUUCUCUGACAAGUAAAUAAGAUCUUUAAAAAAAUUAAAAAUAAAUAAAUACAUACAUAAAUAAAUAAGAAAAUA